GUUUACAGUACUACAGACUUGAUAGACAUUUUACUGUUUAAUAACAUAAAAUUAAUCAAAAUACGUUGGCAGUUCACAUUCAGAUUCUCACUGCCAUCUUGAAAUAGUGUUUCUUCUUUAGGUUCUCUGUACCUUAUUAUACAUGUUAGUGCUAUAAUUCUGUAUGCAGAUAACACAAUCUUAAAAGCCAGUUGUGAAACUUUGGAGACUAGGAUUUUGUUUAACUUUGUCCUGUACUGCAUAUGGAACUUGGCUAGGAAAGUAUAAUGCAGACAUAUAACCUCUCAGGUUAGCGUCCCAAGGAACUGAAAUCUCCAGAAUGGUUGAUGUGUGUUUUGCAAGCCCCACAGGUUAUGAGAUGGUUCUGGCUGCUGUGGUGCUGACAUGCACCUUCUUAAGAACAUAGAUCUGCAGAAGCAAUGUAUUGGAAGAUCUCCAGUUACAGGAUGGAGAAGCAGAUGCCGAAAAACUGCAGAGAUACCUAAUGCAGUCUGGAAUCAGCAGAACCUAUUAUUGUAAGAUACUGAGUGUUUUGCUAUGGCAGCCAGGCAGGCAUAGCUCAAUGUUAAGGAGAGGUUACCACCACUGCCUUGCCUUCUGAGGUGCAAAGUUGAGAAUACUGGGCUUUAAUGCCUGAUCUAAUUCUGUCACCCUUCAAAAUUAAACGAUGAUGUUAAGGAGGCUACUACAAGGUAGUAAGUUAAUGUAUUGGUUGGUUCGGUAGUAGACAGACUGAAAAAAAAAAAAGGGGGGGGAGGGUAUUUUUAGUGUCAGGCUACUUGAAUGUUUUCUGUUUCUCUUUUAAAUUGGAUUAAAAAAAAUGAAUUCAUGGUCACUGUCAUUGCUGAAACUAAUUAUUAAAAAUAAUACAAGUUACAAACUUCUAAUUCUUUUUUAAAAAUGACCUUUCAGCAUUCAGGUUAGAAACUUGAAGAGUUAUUCAUGUAGGAGAUAUGCUUGUACAUAUUAGGACUUCAGUGGAAUCUUGGCAUCACUUUGAAGCUGUUGGUGAUUAUGAGAAAAUUGAAUUUUAAAUUCUCUUAAACUGAUAACUUUUAAUACUAAUUUUGUUUGAGCGUUUAUAAUGGGGUGUAAAUACUGAUUGUGGAGAUGCAUUAUUUGUGUAACUGCUUUAUUUGAUUUGCAUGUCUUGCACUUUGUAAUUUUACAGAGUAGCUGCAUUCAUGUUAAGCUGACCACUAGCAGUAUAAGCAUUAGAAAUCAGGGCUUCCAUUAAACUUUCACAGUUUCUGGAAAGGAAAAUUAAGAUAAAGGUAUGGUCAUCAUUCCUGAUGGUGUGUUUAACUUAAUGUUUUUAACUUAAUGCAUGCAACUGUAAUGAAAUCAUCAAAAUAUCCGUAAAAAUAAUUUAUCUUAGUAUUAACAUACAAUUCAAUUUGCAUCUUAAUAUUGAAAGCAUAAUUCUUUAGCUGAUAUUCACUGCUCUUCUAUUCUACUGCAGAUUAUUAUUGUGAAUAGUCCUGCUUGUUAGUGCUGUAACUACUUUAUUGCUAUGGGAAGUUAUUGGUAGACUGUAGGUAGCAAGAUGUGAACUGUUCAGCUGACUGAAUAAUUUUUGGACAUGCUCUAACUAAUACUAUGAAAUGAGAUUAAGGAAUCAGUUUUGUUGCUAAAAAUCCAAAAGCAGCCUUGACUAUCUCUUCAUACAAUUUUGUGAAUGCUUUUCAUCUAGUAGAUAAGUUAAUUCUAAUACUUAAACUUGUGGUUCCCUCCAUCUGUCAGGAUGGAAGUAGGCCAUUCCUUUUGAAUUUCACUGAUGGUUAGUGUAAUUGUACUUGUCACGCUUCCAAAAUCUCCAAACACUGACUUGCCUAUUGCUGCUGCUUCUAGUUCUUGCAGUGAACCAUGGUAUUCUGGGUGCUGAACUGCUGGAGGAAGAGAGGACCACUAACCUGUCAGAAGUUCAUGUUUGGAAGAACUGCUGUAAAUGGAAGCUAUUAUAUAGUUUUUAACCUUUCUGCUUGACAAGACAACGCGCUUUGAAUGAAUACUUAGAUUUUUAAGUGCAUGAUUCACAGCAAUAAAUAUUUUUUGCAUUUUACUAUAUUUAGAAGCAUGGCUUUUUUUAUCUGUACGUGUAUAAUUCCAGACAAGUAAAUUUCUGUGUUAAGUUCAAGAGCUUAGUGAAAAGGAAAAGCUUAUGGUCAUACAUAAUAGGCUGUGUCUUAUAAAUGGGUAGCUUGCUUACACAAAUAAAACAUGAGACACCCUAAA
This is a long non-coding RNA of Harpia harpyja (harpy eagle), 2235 nucleotides long. RefSeq lists it as uncharacterized. The transcript has 3 exons. The record is from RefSeq and is a predicted model, not a curated record. NCBI's taxonomy places the organism in Eukaryota, Metazoa, Chordata, Aves, Accipitriformes, Accipitridae.